CCAGUCCUUAGGUUUUGCUGUUCACCAAAACACUUAUUUUAUUCAUCUGAAAUGCUUGGCCAGCAAUGCACACAGUAUGAGAGACAAAUAGGAUGAACUUGAAGCACUGGUCUGUUCCCAGUCCUGUGAUGGCAUUGGUGUCAGCUAGAUGUGGUGGGAUGAGCACCACAGGCAGGGCAUGUGCAGUGGAGGAGUUGCACUGUGUGUGAGGGAGAGGUGUGGCUGUACAGUCCUUACAGUUAGAAAUUAUAUGUUUGGGAGCUUCUGGAUGAGGAAUGGUGGGGAUGGAAAACAAAGUAAAUGUUGUAGUGGGUGUCUACUAUGGGUGGCCCAGGCAGAAUAAUAGGAUUAAUGAGUUAUUCUAUAGGCAAGAGAAAUAUCUGGAUCAGCAGCCUUUGUCCUUAUAGGAGAUUUUAACUUCCCAGACAUCAGCUGGGAAUACCAUCCUGAUGUGACAAGCAAGUCUGGGAAAUUCCAGUGGUUUGUUGAAGAUAACUUCUUGAUCCUAUUUCAUUGAGUCAGCUAGGAAAGAUUACAUCCUGGACUUGUUAUUUGUGACUAAAGAAGGACUCAAGGCGGAUGUGGCAGUCGGUGACUGUCUUGGCCACAAUGAUCACAGAAUGGUUUAGAAUUGUCACAGCAAGGGUUUAAAAUUGUCACUGUAAUGAGAAAAAAAUAAUUUCUACCCUGGACUUCAGGCAAGCAAACUUUAAGCUAUUCAUGGAGCUAUUUAGCAGAGUCCUCUGGGAAUCUGCUUUUGUGGGCUUGGGGGUCCACAAGUGCUGGUCAGUUUUCUACAGCUGCCUUUUAGAGGCACAGGAGCAGACAAAUCCCCUGUGUUUUAAGUCAAAUAAGCAGAGAAGGAGACCAGCUCAGCCAAACAUGGAGCUCAGGAGGCAAAAGAAAUGUCAUAAUCUCUGGAAGCAAGGUCAGGCUUCACAGGAAGAUUGCAGAGCUCUAGUUUGUAUAUGCAGGGAGAAGACAUGUAAGGCCAAAGCUGAUAUAGAGUUGAAACUGGCCAGUGCUAGGUCAGAUGACAAAAUAGGCUUUUUAAAGUAUAUUAGUAGAGCAAGGAAGUCUCAGGAAAACAUUGAACCACUACUUAUUGAAGAUGAUCACCUGAUAAAUAGGAAUUAAGGAAAAGGGAAAGCAUACAAUGGUUUUUUUAUCUCAGACCCUAAUGAUAGACCUUGGGUUGCCUGGUCCCCUGAGUCAGAGGACUAUGGCUGUAGGAACAGUGACUUUUCAUUGCAAGGAAUCAGUUGCCUCAGUUGAAUGUUCUUAAUCCCAUGAGGCUUGAUGGAAGUCAUCCCAGAGUUCUGAAGGAAGUGAGUAUGUUGUGACAGGACCCCUCUUGAUCUCCCAGAGAUCUUGGGAGUCUGGGGAGGUCCCCUCUGACUGGAAGCUAGACAGUGUUAUUCCAAUUUAAAAGGACAUGAGUGAAGACUCAGGAAAGUACAGACCUGAGUACCUGGAAAAAUUACGGAGAAGACCAUGCUGCAUACUACUGAAAGUCAUUUAAAGAACAAUGCAAUCAUCAGGCACAGUCAACAUGGGUUCACAAAGGGAAAGUCCUGUUGAACUAAUUUGGUAUUUUUCUGUGAGGUUACCCACCUAGUGGAUGAAAUAAAGGUGGUGGACAUAGUCUUUAUAGAUUUUAGUGAGGCUUUUGAUACUGUCCUUCAUGGCAUCUUUUUGGACAAGCUGUCCAGCUGUGGGAUGGGCAGGUUUGUGAUGUGUUGGGUGAUGAUCUGACUCAGCAAGGUCCAAGGGCUGUAGUGAAUGGCACUACAUCUGGCUGGUGUCACAGCAAUGCUCCUCAAGGCUCAGCUCUAGGCCCAGUUCUCUUUAUUGUAUUUAGCAGUGAUCUGGAUUCUUUAUUGUACUUAUACUUAUUCUGGAUGCAGGAGUUGAAUGAGCCAAUAGCAACUCUGCUGGUGAUAAUGCCACCGGCUCUCUGGAGGGAGAAGAGGCCUUGCAGAGGAUCUAGAUAGAUUGGAGCAUCAGGCAAUGAUUAAUGGGACAAAAUUUCCAAUUCCAAAGGCCACAUUCUGCACCUGGAAUUGAGUAACACCAGGCACAAACGUAAGUGGGGAGAGGGGUGGCUGGAGGGCAGCACUGCAGAAGGAGAUCUGGGGGUGCUGGUUUGCUCAAUAUGAGCCAGAAUUGUAAUUGUAUUGGAGUUCUGUGUGCAGUUCUGGGCCCCACAGUUUAAGAAGGGUGUUUCAAUGCAUUCAGAGGAGGCAGCAAAACUGGUGGAGGGGCUGGAAGGUACAUCCUAUAAGAAGCAGCUAAGACUUUUAGUUUAGUUUGAAGGGAAGGAGGCUGAGAGGGAACCUCAAAGCUCUCUACACCUCCCAGAGGAGAGGGAGAGGAGAGAGGGAUCUCUUCUCCUUUAUAUCCAGUCACAGGACAGUGGUUGAAAGCUGCUCCAGGAGAGAUGUAGAGUGGACAUUAGGAAGUACUUCUUUACUGAGGGAGAGGUCAAACUCUGCAACAGGUUCCCUAGAGUGGUGGUCAAUGCCCCAUUCCUGGCAGUGUUUGAGGCAUCUGGGGAAAUGUCUUUAACACUAUUUUUCAAUGAGCCCUGAAUUGGUCAGGCAGUUGGAUUAGAUGGUUGUUGUAGAUCCCUUCCAGCUAAACUAUACUGUUCUAUUAUUUUCUGUCCAGGAAGUUGUUCUACACCCAUAUUCCCAAGGACAUCAGUGUCUAAUUUGGGCAGUUACAUUCAGUUCUCCUUCAACAAAAAUAAAGGAAAAAUGACUGCCUUGAUUAAUAUGAGGCUGCUAUUAUUAAACAAAUAUUCCAGGAAAGAUUGUCAAAUUUAUAGCUUACAGGAAACUCCAGAGAAUGUCUGCAUUUAAAUAGGUCCCUAGGAGGAGAUAAAUCCAUGAAUAUCAGUGUUUUGCCAAAGUUAGCUAUAAGCACCUGUGUCUACAACUGGUAACUGUUGUGCCAUUACUGUACACUGUCAUCAAGUAUUUAUUUAAACAAACUGUAAACUUACUUCUAUUUACAUAAACUAUAAACCAGCAGCCUUCCAUUUCCAGGAAUAGUAUUUAGUAAAAAGAGGGACUAGUCUGUGUUUGCAGUACUUUGUACCCUCUACACGGUCUGCUGGUGAAGCAGAAUAUUAAUUGGAGAAAGAUCUGCCAGUGCAAACGUAAAUCCUGGUAUCUUUUGCAGCAGGUUAGCAAUAGAAUGCCCGACUCCAGAGUUGUUACCGUCCCUGUCUUAUCAGCUACAGCAGAGAGGAAGAGGCAGAGGGUGUAGCUUCUCUUGCUGAAAGAUAUUAUCUUCUCUCUGGGCCAACUGCUCUGAGUGUUCUGUGUCUCAGAGACCCAUCUCUUCCUGUGUUCUUCUCAUUUUUCCUGAAGAAGACGAGGGCAUGGAUAUGCAAAGUCCUCAGGAGUCACACCUGGGGGUGGGCGCUGUGCCUUGACAGAGGUCAGGAAAUGAGUAACCUGCAAACAGGCUGUAACAGCUUCCCGCCUUUUUCUUCUCUGUAUUAAGGUAUAUGAAUCAUGGGGAUAGACAAUGAUUUUACAGUGAUCGCAGAGGGUCAGGAAAUGACUAAUCUGUAAGGAGGUUGUAAAAGCUUCCCAACUUUUUCUUCUCUUUUUUGAUGAAUAUGAAUCGUCACGGGGAUAGACAAUGAUUUUACAGUGGUGGCAGCAUAAAGAUGGCAGAUUUCUGUGCCUGUCAGAAGAGAACUGCUUAACUCAUCCUGUCAUUUCUUAACCGAGACAACCAAUUCUGAAGCAACAGCUGAUUUGGUAACGGGCUAGCUGAUUUCUAGUAGAAGUCAAAGCAAGCCACACAUGAAUUAAACCUGCAUUUUUAAAUGAAGAGAAUAAACCACCUGUUCAGACAUAGAGGAAAUUAAAUUUUACAGUCUUACAGAAACGUGUUUUAUUCUUUUAAAAUCAAAAUAACCUAUCUGAAAAAAAAAAAAACAAGGUAUUUUUUAUUGGGUAUUUUUUUUCUGAACAUUUCCAUCAACAUUCUAGGGGAACUUUAGGAGACAAACUUCAUAAAGCUUUCCUAUGGAAAAAAAAGUAAAGGGAUCAUUUCAGAUGACUGCAUUAAACAUUACAGGAAUGUGGAUGUCCCAAUUUCCCUCACCAAUGAAUGAAGCUCUGUAAGAAAGAAAAAUACCCAAAGGUCAAGAUAGCCUCUCAGUAUGUGCAAUUUUCUCCAUGGUAACUAUAAUGCAAUGGUUUGUGUAGUAAUGGCAUCCAAGUGAUGCUGGGAGUACAGAUGAUACUAGACAACUUUUAAAACAACUUUUUAAAAGUCUAUCUGUAUUUAAGAAACAGACUAAGCUACUAGAGAGCGUAUCUACUACUUCAGAACAGCAAAACAAAACAAAAAUUAUUAAAAUGUAAAGAAAAUCUAACCCUGUGCAACUAGCAAGCAAAGGUACAGUGCUUUACGGAAAAGGAGCAGCUAGCAAAAAGAAAUGUUUAGAAAAAGAAAUGGCUUUUUGUCCUUAAAUAUGUGAUCACAGAGGCAGUACUAACUUCUCUAGUUGGGCCAGCCAAUAUGUCCAUGGUCAGAGCCUUCAGGGAUUGGCUCUGCUGGACAUUCUAGAAGUUUUGAGGAGCUUCUCUCUCAGAAGCAACUUCUGUGGCUUUUUCUCCACGCCCACUAAAAGCCAGGUUUUGUUAAACUAACUCAGCUGCUCUUUCCGUGCUUGUACUGAUCUCCUGGGUGGAAUUUGAGUAAAAUUCCUUUCCUUCCUUGUCUACCCUCCUUCAUUUCUGCAAUUCAUGCAAGAGAGAUUAUCCUAAAUGGCUGACCUGCUGUUCUCCUGACUUCACAGACAUCUCUCUUUGAUGCUAAGUAGUUCAGGAUUUAGUCUUCCGUUUUCCUUUACUCUCUACAGUGAUGGAUGAGGGUUUCUAAUGGUUGUCUUUCAGUGAUUUUAAGACUUGGUCUCACAGUAAAUCAUGCCAUGGAAUUUAACAUUCUUGCCCCACACAUAUUUUAAGUUUUAUGAUGGAAAGAGAUUCAUUCUGGAUGCAACAGCCUGUAUGGUAUGUCUGCUACCCUCAAAUGCCUGCUUAGACAAAUAUGAAACUAUGAAAAUACUCUUUUCUAUUAUUAUUAAUUUUCUUCCUUCUGGUCCAUUUACCAACUACCCUCAGAAGGUGCUUAUACCAGAAAAUGCUCAGGACAAGCAGAAUCAUUUUUUUCUGUGCAGCGGAAGAGAAAACUGUGAUUGAACCUCUUGCUAUCACUAACAUUUAUACUUAUUUCAUUUGAUAUGAAAACUAAUGUUAGCUGGCUUGACUCCAGCCUGGGGGAAGCAUGGGGAGUCCCUUUGGCAGGGAAGAAAGGCACAGCUUGUGCUUAAUCCUUGCCAUUUCUUGCCAUCUAGUGGCCUGCCAAAGCACCAGUCCUGGGCCUCGCAGCUCACACCUUUAAAAUCCUCAUCAGAAGGGAAGGAGGGUGCUGCAUGCCCAGGAAAAAGAGCACUGAGAGGCAAAUUCUGCCCCUGCACAGCCAAGUCACCUCCAUCCUCCCCUCCUGCUCUUCUCUGCCCAUUCUCUCUUCCCUCCAGAGGAUGCAGGUGGCAGAGGCUUUGGUCACUCAUUGUCACCUUGUCUAGGAUGGAAAGGGCUUUAAAGUUUUAUUUGGUGUUUGCUGAAUAACUAAGUUGGGCUUUGGCCAGCACUGAAGUGGAGAUGAUGGAAAGACAGCAGGGGUUUUUUUGUUCUUGGUGCUAGUGGGCUGGGUGGAAUAACACCUUCCAGGCUUGAACACCUUGAUGUGGUCAGGUUAGAUUAGGAAGGCGAACUUGGAUGUUGACAUCUGUUACAAGAGCAAAUGCAGGUGAGUGCAUUGGUCUGACAGUCCCUAAAUCCCCCAUUGUGGGAACUGCACAAGUCGUUUUAUCUGUACAUUUUUGGUACAUUGAAAAUAUUUCAAGUGUAAACUCCAGAGUUUGUUUUUUUUUUUCAGAUUCAGGUUAUCAGGGUUUUAUUUAGAUAAAACAUUUCCCAGAGGAAGUAUGAUGCUUUGACACAUUCAUCUAAAAAUUCCCUGCAAGUAGAGAAUGAAAGGGAAUAGUAUGCUUUGAAAGCCUGGUACUUUCCACCUUAUUUUCUACAGUAAUCAGAUAAAGUAAAAACAGG
This is a non-coding RNA of Taeniopygia guttata (zebra finch), 6140 nucleotides long. The record is from RefSeq and is a predicted model, not a curated record. Lineage: Eukaryota; Metazoa; Chordata; Aves; Passeriformes; Estrildidae.